AAGAACGGAUCAGAUUUGACACAUAAAAAAAUUGAGAAUGACACAGAAGGAAUGGAUGAGGACUCUGUGAGUGAUCUGAGUUUUGAUUCCAGCGAGGAUGAAAUGUUUUUGGAAGAAGAAGAUCCACUUUCCGAUCAUGGCACUGACCCCAACUGGGAGCCCCCAGUGCCAACUUGUCCAUCCCCCUCUGAAGCUGGUUCAUCCUCUGGCUCCACACCUCCGGGCCGUCUAGAGGACCGACAAAGAAGCGGAA
This is a long non-coding RNA of Oncorhynchus tshawytscha (Chinook salmon), 253 nucleotides long. RefSeq lists it as uncharacterized. NCBI's taxonomy places the organism in Eukaryota, Metazoa, Chordata, Actinopteri, Salmoniformes, Salmonidae. The record is from RefSeq and is a predicted model, not a curated record. The transcript is spliced from 3 exons.